This is a long non-coding RNA of Melanotaenia boesemani (Boeseman's rainbowfish), 724 nucleotides long. RefSeq lists it as uncharacterized. NCBI's taxonomy places the organism in Eukaryota, Metazoa, Chordata, Actinopteri, Atheriniformes, Melanotaeniidae. The record is from RefSeq and is a predicted model, not a curated record. The transcript has 2 exons.
AAAACCACGGAGAAGAACAGAAAAAAUCGUCUACUUAAAGUUGUUUCCGCACUCUGAGAGGAGUCAGUUGUUUUUUUUUUCAUCCUGUCCGUGACUUGGUGACGUUUUACACUGUGUAUGUUGCCGGACGGGACUCGGCUAUUAAGGUUUGACCUGGAAAUUCUGAGCGAGUACCGGAGUGGGAUUCCAUGUUCGAGAUACAAGAUGGCCAGCCACCCAAAGACUCCGUGAACCGUGCAUCAUACAGAAGCCAAGCGCCUCUCCUGGACAUUGCGUGGUUUUCAUCAGGAACUGGUAGGAUUUAUCCAAAUCUUUAUGCAGAGCUGCAGUGGAUUCACAGACAUUGGAUUAACCGUUCAGGAUAAUCAAAGGAUUGACAGUUAAUGGGACAAAGAUUAUUACUUGUGAUAAACAAGGUUAUUCAGUCUUUUACUGAAUCCUUUUGAGUUUUGUAAAUUUUAUUUACUGUUGUUUUGUUAAUCAUAUCUGUUAAUGCUGUAAUGGUGUUAUCUGAGUUGUGAUUAUAAGCAGUUUUUUUGUUGGGUACCACAAAAGAAAAAAUUGAGAAUGGUUGAAAUUUAAAGAAAGAGUUUAACUAGAACUUGAAACUAAAACUAAAACUUUAUCCAGAAUAAAGCUGAGUAACUUAGAGAAAAGACAGAACGUGAACUUAGUGCAAACAAGAAAAAAACCUAGGUUGGAAAAAAAAUUAUCCUUUAAACCA